UACAGAGGUCCCGAGCGUUGUUCGGAUUCACUGGGCGUAAAGGGUGCGUAGGCGGCGUGGUAAGUUUGAUGUGAAAGCUCAGGGCUUAACCCUGAAAUGGCAUUGAAUACUACCAUGCUGGAGGUUUGGAGGGGGGACUGGAAUUCUUGGUGUAGCAGUGAAAUGCGUAGAUAUCAAGAGGAACACCAGUGGCGAAGGCGAGUCCCUGGACAACACCUGACACUGAGGCACGAAAGCUAGGGGAGCAAACAGG
RNAcentral lists this ribosomal RNA (253 nucleotides) under uncultured bacterium. RNAcentral's name for it is "partial 16S ribosomal RNA". It matches the Rfam family "Bacterial small subunit ribosomal RNA", at positions 524 to 776 of the family's 1533-position model. The record is from RNAcentral.